RNAcentral lists this transfer-messenger RNA (401 nucleotides) under Bacteroidales bacterium. It matches the Rfam family "transfer-messenger RNA". Rfam says of the family: Bacterial tmRNA, also known as 10Sa RNA or SsrA, is named for its dual tRNA and mRNA-like properties. Its role is to liberate the mRNA from a stalled ribosome. The record is from RNAcentral. Lineage: Bacteria; Pseudomonadati; Bacteroidota; Bacteroidia; Bacteroidales.
GGGGCUGACCGGUUUUGACAGCGUGUAGAGGUGGUGUGUAAGCGUGCAGAGCAAUGAUGCCCGCAACUCUCUAAACUGCGGUAUCACACAAUUUUAAAUGGCGAAAACAACUACGCUCUCGCUGCCUGAUCGAAGUACAGUAGAUUAGCUUUAUCCCUGCAACAGUUGCAGAGACGAGACAUCGCCCGAUUGUCCUUUUUCCGAGACUAAUCGACAAGGUGGUGCAGAAAUAUCGGGAAUAGCCGGAGAAGAGUUCCGAUUCUCAGGCGAAAAUAAAGGGACUAAGGGGCAGAUUGGUCGUCCCGGCCUGUCCGUCCACAAAAAUCAACCGGAGACUACGCACGUAGAAAGCACAUUAGUUCCGCGUUUGGACGAGGGUUCAAUCCCCUCCAGCUCCACCC